RNAcentral lists this long non-coding RNA (2245 nucleotides) under Nicotiana tabacum (common tobacco). RNAcentral's name for it is "long non-coding RNA (NTAB_LNC016591)". Lineage: Eukaryota; Viridiplantae; Streptophyta; Magnoliopsida; Solanales; Solanaceae. The record is from RNAcentral.
AAGGGGCAAGAAACAGAGAAAAAAUCCCUUUUUUUUGCUAACACAUAUAGCAACGAAAGAGAAACAGAUUGAAAUAACAAGCUACUACGGUAAACUCCACUUUCUUGUCUUUCUUUAACAUUUUUAGUUUAUUUUUCUUUUCCUACCAUUAUUUAUCCACCAUUAGUAUAUGCCUACUUGAUUUAGAAAAUCACAAAAAAAUCAAAUAGUUUGAUUAGUAUUGGAGGAGAGUACUCUUAGUUUACUCCGCAUUAGCAAGGUUCAAAAUAAUUUAAAGUUUUGUUCUUUAUAUGGGGCAUUGUGUUAGUUUGGAAUAAGUUAACUAGGGAUUGGAUAUGAAUGUUAGUGAAUAAAUAUUUUCACCUUUGAGGUACUCUGAAUGCAAUUAGUCUGAUAGUUGGUUCUUAGUCCAAUUAACCAGGAAAGGAUUCUAAGUAUAAUAUUUGGAAGAACUAAUCUAAGUUAGUAUUAGUUUGUUAGGAUGAUAAUCACUGCCAAUGGGAUAUUUCCCUUGGACAAGAGAAUCAUAAAUAAAGGUAUAUUCUUUGAGCACGCACUAAUGUAAAUUGAACUUGAUUAUUUCAUGUAAAUUGAAAAUUUGUGAAUCGGGAGUGUUUGGAGGAUACGUGAAGUCGAAGCUGAGCUAGAUUUAAGGUGAGUUGAGGCUUACUCUCCCAAUAGAAAAUUCCAUUAGAACCCCUGUACAUGUGUUCAAUAAAUCUAAGCCAUGUCUUCUUGCGAUCCAAAUAUUACUUUCACUUCAUUCUUAUUCAGUACGAUGAAACAUGUGACAGAAAUACAUGCUCAUUUGUAUUGCCAGUCAUUACAUGUAUUUGUUUGUGAUAUUUAUAUUCAGUUAAGUAUUCAGUUUCAACAUUAAUUCAUGCAUUAAUAUGAUCAUUUAGUAGGGAGAAGUGGCCAACCUCCCCCAGCGUGAGUGCCAUGAUGCCAGGGUUAGUUACCCCACGCUUGCAGGUGCCAAUUGUUUGUUGGGGAGAUAGGCCGACACUCCCCCAUACGUGUUCCCAGAUGUUCACGUAAGCAGGGCUACUACGUGUACCGAUUUUCAGAAAAUGUUCAGUUUUGGCUUAUAGUUCAGCUUAUAGUAUCAGCUUACAAUUGAUUACUUGCUUAUAAAAUUUUAUAUGAUUUAUAAGAUUUUCGGUAUGCCUGUUUUCUUUCAUAUUUUUCCCAGAAGGUCUCGCUCUGCCUUUUUAAAAGGUAGCCUAUGAGACUUACUGGGUAUCCUUUGGUGAUACUUAGCCCGUUUGGGUCUGCUACGUCGUGUGGCAAGUAUUGAGGACGCAGGUAACGAGGCACGUGACUAGAGAAGAUAUUUCGGAUUUAGUUUACAGACUCCGUUGAUUCAUCCCAGUGGUAGCGGACUCUUUUCAUACUGUUAUUUCUUUUUAGAUGUUUAUUUUAUUUUCGGGGAAUGCCCUGCAGGCUAUGUAUUUCAGUUUUGUCAAAGUCUAGAGGCUCAUGACUUGUUUGUGGGUUAGUAUUAAGAUAUUUUAGGAUUUAUCCUUUAUUGAUUAUUUUAUCAGUCCGUUUAAGAACUGCAACUUGAGUAGAAUGAAUAUUUAAGCGCAUUAGGUUGGUUGCUAUUGAAUCUAAAGUUUUGAUACAAUUAGCACAGGGUUCACUCAACGAGUGGUAAGGGUGGAGUGCCUAUCACGUCCCACCUCAGUUGGGGGCGUGACAAGGUGGUAUCAGAGCAGCCAGGUUUGAGAAGUCAUAGAGAGUCAUGAGUCGUGUCUAGUAAAGUCUCAUUUAUGGGUAUGUUGUGCAUAAUACUUAUAUUUGGGAGGCUGCAGGACAUGUUAGGAAAACAUUUCUUUCUUUGACUCUUACAUUGUACGUUAGAGCUAAACAUUUCAGAAUUCUAACAAUCCUUUUAUCCCUCGUUUCAGAACAAAAUGGUUAGAACAAGAUCAACUUCAUCAUCUUAUACUAACAAUGUUGAUAUAGCAGCUGGUAAUCAUCAAGAAGCACCAGCAGAGGUGCAUACUGCACCAAUGGCACCAGCUACAGUUAGAGGACGUGGAAGAGGUAGAGAUCGUGGUCAAGGUCAGAAUGCUAGGGGUAGAGGUAGAAAUGUCAUAGGUAAUCAGGCUCGUUGUAGGGCCACUGGACAGACAUAGGCUCCACCUCAGUAGGCUGAUAAUGACCAGGUGGAAAUCACACCCCCUCAUAACCCACUCAGGGCAAAUCAACCAUAACAGCACGAUGAUCGAAUUGCCAG